CCACACCUGCCACCUCCCUCCCUCGGAAGUGACGCCGCCCACAGCCGCACACACCACCAUUGACGACCACUGCAUUGACUGAAGGAAGAACAAGAUCUAGUCGGCCAGUUAGCAGGGGUGAUGGCGCGGGGUCGCCCACCAAAGGCGGCACCUCCGGCAGCAGCGGUCAUGACCACCGCUGGUUCUUCGGCCGCGACGACCAAGCGUCCUCCUACAGUACAGACCUGCUUCACCUCCAUUGCCUUGCAAUCUCUUGCUGGUGAAUGGAACCCUGAGGUCAGAAGUGUUUUAAAAGAUGUAGGCAUGGAUGAGUUGUGCAAAAUCAGAGUGCUAGGGAACACAAACAUGAUCUUUUCCAUGUCUUUGAUAUCUAGAAUCAACCCAGAUAACAUGAUGAUGGACAUGGGUGAUGGUGUAUUCAUGGAGAUUAACAGUAGAGAGGUUGCUAGAUGUAUUGGUCUUGCGCCGGGGGUAGGAAAAUAGACAUCGCCGGUGGCCGGUGCCUUGUAGAUCGUGAGGACUUGCUUGGCAAAGUCCACGGCAUACUUGGCACUGGUAUGCCGAGGUCGAACAACAUCCCGGUUCACAAAGUCAAGAAGAUAGUUCAAGGGGCUCGCAAAGUUGCGAUAGAGGGUGAGGAGCGCACCACGAUGAGGGUGGCGGUCACACUGUUAGCCAGCUCUACUUUCCUUGUGCCUAGGGGUGCCAUAGCAAAUAUCGCAAAUGAACUACUUCCUGUUGUGGACGAGCCAGAGAUGAUAGCAGAGUUUGAUUUCUGUGAUUAUGUGGUUGAGGGCCUGAGGGAAGCAGCAAGAAAGUUAAGGGAUGAACUCAGCUGUGAUCCUCCUUUGGUCAACCUUACUGGGUGCCUUAUCAUCCCGCAGAUGAUCUGGCUGGACUACCACUAGCACGGUCGUCAAGGCAGGCUACUGCUACCACUCCCUAGGCUUGUUGACUAUUCUGACAUGAUGCUAAGGGGGCUGAUCCGGAAGCAUGCAAUUGCUCAGGGGAUAGAAUGCGGUCUGGAGCUCGGUGAUAUUCCUCGUUCUCCGCCAGCAAACAUUAUUCAGUGGUGUGGCAAUGCUCCUAAGCACCAUGGUGAGAGCAGUGGAGCUGGUGUGGCAGCUAGUGCUUCAAACCAUGAUCAAACGACUCCUGCUGCAGCCGGCGGCUUCUCU
Long non-coding RNA from Triticum urartu, 1178 nucleotides. RefSeq lists it as uncharacterized. The record is from RefSeq and is a predicted model, not a curated record. Lineage: Eukaryota; Viridiplantae; Streptophyta; Magnoliopsida; Poales; Poaceae.